RNAcentral lists this non-coding RNA (148 nucleotides) under Homo sapiens (human). The record is from Rfam by way of RNAcentral. Lineage: Eukaryota; Metazoa; Chordata; Mammalia; Primates; Hominidae.
GCCAGGUGUGGUGGUGCACGCCUGUAAUUCCAGCUACCCGGGAGGCUGAGGCAGGAGAAUUGCUUGAACCCAGGAGGCGGAGGUUGCAGUGAGCCGAGAUCAUGCCGCUGCACUCCAGCCUGGGUGACAGAGUGAGACUCUGCCUCAA